RNAcentral lists this ribosomal RNA (253 nucleotides) under uncultured bacterium. RNAcentral's name for it is "partial 16S ribosomal RNA". It matches the Rfam family "Bacterial small subunit ribosomal RNA", at positions 524 to 776 of the family's 1533-position model. The record is from RNAcentral.
UACAUAGCCUGCAAGCGUUAUUCGGAUUCACUGGGCGUAAAGGGUGCGCAGGCGGCCGGGUGUGUCAGAUGUGAAAUCCCGAGGCUCAACCUCGGAACUGCGUCUGAAACUACUCGGCUAGAGUACUGGAGAGGGUAACGGAAUUCACGGUGUAGCAGUGAAAUGCGUAGAUAUCGUGAGGAACACCAGAGGCGAAGGCGGUUACCUGGACAGUUACUGACGCUCAGGCACGAAAGCGUGGGGAGCAAAAGGG